Molecule: small RNA, 94 nt
Filed under: Vibrio cholerae
Lineage: Bacteria; Pseudomonadati; Pseudomonadota; Gammaproteobacteria; Vibrionales; Vibrionaceae
Also listed under: 1 other name
Source: RNAcentral
UUAGAACUAAGCAACUGACUAGAUUUUCCAUUAGCGCAGGCUCUUUGGAGCCAUUCCCCUAGGCCCUAAAACCUUACGUUUUGGGCCUUUUUUU